Molecule: long non-coding RNA, 1151 nt
Filed under: Homo sapiens (human)
Lineage: Eukaryota; Metazoa; Chordata; Mammalia; Primates; Hominidae
Description: HSALNT0352087
Source: RNAcentral
CCCCAGGAGGAAGAAACCUCAGACAGAUCGCCGGGGAGGCAGCGCGGGAUCCCAGCCUCAGGCGUGCGCGGACGGUGUGCGGCUGAAUACUAAAAGUGCUGUAGGCUGGACCCGCACUACCUGACAGGGAGAUAAAUGACUAAAGGCAAAUGGGAGUCAAAACAGGUGUGGCUUUUCUUAUUUUUAAUUAAGCAUCUUACAUAGCAAAUUUUGCAAAACUCGUAUGACCCCGAGAAAGACCCAUACACAUGAAAGGUCUUAAAGAUUUAACUUUCUUAGCUUUAACGUAAGCUUUCCACUGGAUUUUCCCAUUACACUCAUUCCAUAAAGAAAUGAAAUAAUCAUAUAUCUCAUUAUAUAAUUAUACUAAAUUGAUCUCGACACAUUUUCUUAGCAAUAUAUACCAACAUUGUUUCCAAUAUUGUUUAUUACAAAUGAUGCUACAGUUGAAAUCUUUAUAUCUGAACGCUUGUGUGUGUGUGCGUACCUAUUCUGUGUAUAACACUGAUUUUAUUUAUUUGUAUAGGCCUGGAAGUGGAAAUACUGUGACAUAAAAUAGAGGCACAGCAAAUUAUUCAAGAUGUCGACAAACAGCAUUGUUUCCAAGUUUUUGUUCCCUUACAAUCCUUGCCAUUGGCCAAUCUCUCAGAAUCCCGUGUUGCUUAACAUUUGGUAGCUUAGUAAAUAUUUUAAAUCUCAGAGAUUUUACCUAACUGAUACCAGGGUUUUUAAAAUUUGUUUAUAUAGAUUAAGCGUCUUUGAAGAAAUAACAGUAUGCAAAAAAUAUGGUUGCUAUUCUUCAUGUUAAAACUAUCUUAAACUCUUUUCCAGAGGAAAAAAUAACAAAAUAGAAACCAAUGAAGGUCUUUUGCUUGGUGAUUACAUAUAUUGAUUACCUGUGUAAGUUAAACAGAUUGGGAAAAGGAAAUAUCCAAAAUUGUGCCUAGAGUAUAUCAUGACAUCAUGUAUAUAUGUAAAUAAGUUAAUUUUUGCAAUCGCAACAUAGAGAAAAAUGUUAUUUUAAAUGAAUAAAAAUAAAUAGAACAUAAAGUAAUAUUUCAGCAUAUUAAAUUUAGGAGUAAAAACCUUUGACAUCCCUGAAAAUCUUUGGUAAAAAGUCCAGAUUAUGAUAACUUGGCUUUAAUGAACUA